RNAcentral lists this ribosomal RNA (460 nucleotides) under uncultured bacterium. Its description in RNAcentral is "partial 16S ribosomal RNA". It matches the Rfam family "Bacterial small subunit ribosomal RNA", at positions 338 to 795 of the family's 1533-position model. The record is from RNAcentral.
CCUACGGGAGGCAGCAGUGAGGAAUAUUGGUCAAUGGACGAGAGUCUGAACCAGCCAAGUAGCGUGAAGGAUGACUGCCCUAUGGGUUGUAAACUUCUUUUAUAAAGGAAUAAAACGAGGCACGUGUGCCUUUUUGCAUGUACUUUAUGAAUAAGGAUCGGCUAACUCCGUGCCAGCAGCCGCGGUAAUACGGAGGAUCCGAGCGUUAUCCGGAUUUAUUGGGUUUAAAGGGAGCGUAGAUGGGUUGUUAAGUCAGUUGUGAAAGUUUGCGGCUCAACCGUAAAAUUGCAAUUGAUACUGGCAGUCUUGAGUACAGUUGAGGUAGGCGGAAUGCGUGGUGUAGCGGUGAAAUGCUUAGAGAUCACGAAGAACCCCGAUUGCGAAGGCAGCUUACUAAACUGUGACUGACAUUGAUGCUCGAAAGUGUGGGUAGCAAACAGGAUUAGAUACCCGAGUAGUC